GGGUUGUGAGGUUAAGCGACUAAGCGUACACGGUGGAUGCCCUGGCAGUCAGAGGCGAUGAAGGACGUGCUAAUCUGCGAUAAGCGUCGGUAAGGUGAUAUGAACCGUUAUAACCGGCGAUUUCCGAAUGGGGAAACCCAGUGUGAUUCGUCACACUAUCAUUAACUGAAUCCAUAGGUUAAUGAGGCGAACCGGGGGAACUGAAACAUCUAAGUACCCCGAGGAAAAGAAAUCAACCGAGAUUCCCCCAGUAGCGGCGAGCGAACGGGGAGCAGCCCAGAGCCUGAAUCAGUGUGUGUGUUAGUGGAAGCGUCUGGAAAGGCGCGCGAUACAGGGUGACAGCCCCGUACACAAAAAUGCACAUGCUGUGAGCUCGAUGAGUAGGGCGGGACACGUGGUAUCCUGUCUGAAUAUGGGGGGACCAUCCUCCAAGGCUAAAUACUCCUGACUGACCGAUAGUGAACCAGUACCGUGAGGGAAAGGCGAAAAGAACCCCGGCGAGGGGAGUGAAAAAGAACCUGAAACCGUGUACGUACAAGCAGUGGGAGCACGCUUAGGCGUGUGACUGCGUACCUUUUGUAUAAUGGGUCAGCGACUUAUAUUCUGUAGCAAGGUUAACCGAAUAGGGGAGCCGAAGGGAAACCGAGUCUUAACUGGGCGUUAAGUUGCAGGGUAUAGACCCGAAACCCGGUGAUCUAGCCAUGGGCAGGUUGAAGGUUGGGUAACACUAACUGGAGGACCGAACCGACUAAUGUUGAAAAAUUAGCGGAUGACUUGUGGCUGGGGGUGAAAGGCCAAUCAAACCGGGAGAUAGCUGGUUCUCCCCGAAAGCUAUUUAGGUAGCGCCUCGUGAAUUCAUCUCCGGGGGUAGAGCACUGUUUCGGCAAGGGGGUCAUCCCGACUUACCAACCCGAUGCAAACUGCGAAUACCGGAGAAUGUUAUCACGGGAGACACACGGCGGGUGCUAACGUCCGUCGUGAAGAGGGAAACAACCCAGACCGCCAGCUAAGGUCCCAAAGUCAUGGUUAAGUGGGAAACGAUGUGGGAAGGCCCAGACAGCCAGGAUGUUGGCUUAGAAGCAGCCAUCAUUUAAAGAAAGCGUAAUAGCUCACUGGUCGAGUCGGCCUGCGCGGAAGAUGUAACGGGGCUAAACCAUGCACCGAAGCUGCGGCAGCGACACUAUGUGUUGUUGGGUAGGGGAGCGUUCUGUAAGCCUGUGAAGGUGUGCUGUGAGGCAUGCUGGAGGUAUCAGAAGUGCGAAUGCUGACAUAAGUAACGAUAAAGCGGGUGAAAAGCCCGCUCGCCGGAAGACCAAGGGUUCCUGUCCAACGUUAAUCGGGGCAGGGUGAGUCGACCCCUAAGGCGAGGCCGAAAGGCGUAGUCGAUGGGAAACAGGUUAAUAUUCCUGUACUUGGUGUUACUGCGAAGGGGGGACGGAGAAGGCUAUGUUGGCCGGGCGACGGUUGUCCCGGUUUAAGCGUGUAGGCUGGUUUUCCAGGCAAAUCCGGAAAAUCAAGGCUGAGGCGUGAUGACGAGGCACUACGGUGCUGAAGCAACAAAUGCCCUGCUUCCAGGAAAAGCCUCUAAGCAUCAGGUAACAUCAAAUCGUACCCCAAACCGACACAGGUGGUCAGGUAGAGAAUACCAAGGCGCUUGAGAGAACUCGGGUGAAGGAACUAGGCAAAAUGGUGCCGUAACUUCGGGAGAAGGCACGCUGAUAUGUAGGUGAAGUCCCUCGCGGAUGGAGCUGAAAUCAGUCGAAGAUACCAGCUGGCUGCAACUGUUUAUUAAAAACACAGCACUGUGCAAACACGAAAGUGGACGUAUACGGUGUGACGCCUGCCCGGUGCCGGAAGGUUAAUUGAUGGGGUUAGCGCAAGCGAAGCUCUUGAUCGAAGCCCCGGUAAACGGCGGCCGUAACUAUAACGGUCCUAAGGUAGCGAAAUUCCUUGUCGGGUAAGUUCCGACCUGCACGAAUGGCGUAAUGAUGGCCAGGCUGUCUCCACCCGAGACUCAGUGAAAUUGAACUCGCUGUGAAGAUGCAGUGUACCCGCGGCAAGACGGAAAGACCCCGUGAACCUUUACUAUAGCUUGACACUGAACAUUGAGCCUUGAUGUGUAGGAUAGGUGGGAGGCUUAGAAGUGUGGACGCCAGUCUGCAUGGAGCCGAACUUGAAAUACCACCCUUUAAUGUUUGAUGUUCUAACGUUGACCCGUAAUCCGGGUUGCGGACAGUGUCUGGUGGGUAGUUUGACUGGGGCGGUCUCCUCCUAAAGAGUAACGGAGGAGCACGAAGGUUGGCUAAUCCUGGUCGGACAUCAGGAGGUUAGUGCAAUGGCAUAAGCCAGCUUGACUGCGAGCGUGACGGCGCGAGCAGGUGCGAAAGCAGGUCAUAGUGAUCCGGUGGUUCUGAAUGGAAGGGCCAUCGCUCAACGGAUAAAAGGUACUCCGGGGAUAACAGGCUGAUACCGCCCAAGAGUUCAUAUCGACGGCGGUGUUUGGCACCUCGAUGUCGGCUCAUCACAUCCUGGGGCUGAAGUAGGUCCCAAGGGUAUGGCUGUUCGCCAUUUAAAGUGGUACGCGAGCUGGGUUUAGAACGUCGUGAGACAGUUCGGUCCCUAUCUGCCGUGGGCGCUGGAGAACUGAGGGGGGCUGCUCCUAGUACGAGAGGACCGGAGUGGACGCAUCACUGGUGUUCGGGUUGUCAUGCCAAUGGCACUGCCCGGUAGCUAAAUGCGGAAGAGAUAAGUGCUGAAAGCAUCUAAGCACGAAACUUGCCCCGAGAUGAGUUCUCCCUGACCCUUUAAGGGUCCUGAAGGAACGUUGAAGACGACGACGUUGAUAGGCCGGGUGUGUAAGCGCAGCGAUGCGUUGAGCUAACCGGUACUAAUGAACCGUGAGGCUUAACCUUACAACGCCGAAGCUGUU
Molecule: ribosomal RNA, 2929 nt
Filed under: Escherichia coli
Lineage: Bacteria; Pseudomonadati; Pseudomonadota; Gammaproteobacteria; Enterobacterales; Enterobacteriaceae
Description: 23S ribosomal RNA
Rfam family: Bacterial large subunit ribosomal RNA
Source: RNAcentral